ACGGAAGGCAGCAGUGGGGAAUAUUGCACAAUGGGGGAAACCCUGAUGCAGCAACGCCGCGUGAAGGAUGAAGGCCUUUGGGUCGUAAACUUCUGUCCUUGAGGAAGAUAAUGACGGUACUCUUGGAGGAAGCCCCGGCUAACUACGUGCCAGCAGCCGCGGUAAUACGUAGGGGGCAAGCGUUAUCCGGAAUUAUUGGGCGUAAAGGGUGCGUAGGCGGUUUUUUAAGCGCGGGGUGAAAGGCAAUGGCUUAACUAUUGUUAGCCCUGCGAACUAGGAGACUUGAGUGCUGGAGAGGAAAGCGGAAUUCCUAGUGUAGCGGUGAAAUGCGUAGAUAUUAGGAGGAACACCAGUGGCGAAGGCGGCUUUCUGGACAGUAACUGACGCUGAGGCACGAAAGUGUGGGGAGCAAACAGGAUUAGAUACCCUGGUA
Molecule: ribosomal RNA, 433 nt
Filed under: uncultured Anaerovorax sp.
Lineage: Bacteria; Bacillati; Bacillota; Clostridia; Peptostreptococcales; Anaerovoracaceae
Description: partial 16S ribosomal RNA
Rfam family: Bacterial small subunit ribosomal RNA
Source: RNAcentral